ACGAAAUUAACUGCACCAAAAGCACCAACAUCGGACCGCCCACAAGAAAGUCUCAACUUCAACCAGUCUUUCGGUUGCCUGAAUGAUAUUGAUCAUGAUAUCUACUCGACUUUUGAUCUGUUUGAGGAAAAGGUGCCCAUCAAACAACCUAUGAGUCAGAACUCCACCGAGAUAGAACCAGCUCCACCUACCGACGGACCUGGGAUGAUGUAUUCUGAUCAGGGAAGCAAUUCCUUUGGCUAUUCUGAAUUUGGUUGGGAACAUGAGGUUAAAACUCCAGAGAUCACAACAAGUCUUGAUCCAACCAUAACUGAAGUUCAAAAUUUUACAUGUCUGGAAAAUGGUGGUCCUCUGAAGAAAUUGAAGAACAAUGCCGGAGAGACGGUGCCGGCUGAGGAAAAUGAUGGUGUCAAAUUCUCUGAAGAUUUGUCUACUUUUGAGUCACUCAUGAAGUUUCUGCAGACACCUUAUCUGGAUGGUGGUUCAGAUGAUUCAAUCGAUAGCUUCCUCAAUUAUGACAUGACUCAGGAUGAAAGUGGAGUGGACCUGUGGAGCUUUGAUGACCUGCCACCGGUAGCUAGCAGCGUUUACUGAUGGACCUUAAAUUAAGGCAAAUGGUCUUCUGUAAAUACGGUAUAUCAACAAGCAUCCCUCUUAGGAAUUCAUCUAUUUAGCAUGCAAAUUCUUUUCUUUGUGUACCAUUUAAAGGAAGUGUGUUGUUGUUUUCCUCUUUGUUCCAGGAACCAGUGUCGAUGGAUGUUAUGCUGAACCAGGGAUUUCCUUUAUCAUGAUUUAGUAAACCUUCUGAGUUAUGCUACUAUGUUUAGG
RNAcentral lists this long non-coding RNA (828 nucleotides) under Musa acuminata (dwarf banana). Its description in RNAcentral is "long non-coding RNA (MACU_LNC001168)". Lineage: Eukaryota; Viridiplantae; Streptophyta; Magnoliopsida; Zingiberales; Musaceae. The record is from RNAcentral.